AGAGUUUGAUCAUGGCUCAGAACGAACGUUGGCGGCGUGCUUAACACAUGCAAGUCGAACGAGAAAGUUCCUUCGGGGACGAGUAAAGUGGCGCACGUGUGAGUAACGCGUAAGUAAUCUACCUUUGCAUCUGGAAUAACUGCGGGAAGCUGUAGCUAAUACCGGGUACGUUCUCCUUUCUACGGAUUGGAGAAGAAAGAUGACACCUCUCUUUAGAAGUUGCCGUAUAGGGAUGAGUCUGCGUACCAUUAGCUAGUAGGUAAGGUAACGGCUUACCUAGGCGACGAUGGUUAGCGGGUCUGAGAGGAUGAUCCGUCACACUGGAACUGAAACACGGACCAGACUCCUACGGGAGGCAGCAGUGAGGAAUAUUGCGCAAUGGGGGAAACCCUGACGCAGCGACGCCGCGUGAGUGAAGAAGGCCUUCGGGUUGUAAAGCUCUGUCAGGUGGGAAGAAGUGGAAUAUGGUUAAUACCCAUAUUUUUUGACGGUACCAUCAGAGGAAGCACCGGCUAACUUCGUGCCAGCAGCCGCGGUAAUACGAAGGGUGCUAGCGUUAUUCGGAAUCACUGGGCGUAAAGUGUGUGUAGGUGGUUUUUUAAGUUUGAUGUGAAAUCCCAUGGCUCAACCGGGGAAGUGCAUCUGAAACUGCAGAGCGGGAGUAUCGGAGGGGAAAGUGGAAUUCCUGGUGUAGAGGUGAAAUUCGUAGAUAUCAGGAGGAAUACCAGUGGCGAAGGCGACCAUCUGGACCGACACUGACACUGAGACACGAAAGCGUGGGUAGCAAACAUGAUUAGAUACCCUGGUAGUCCACGCCGUAAACGAUGUCAACUAGGUGCAGGGGGUGUUGAUCCCCUCUGUGUCGCAGCUAACGCAUUAAGUUGACCGCCUGGGGAGUACGGUCGCAAGAUUAAAACUCAAAGGAAUUGACGGGGGCCCGCACAAGCGGUGGAGUAUGUGGUUUAAUUCGAUGCAACGCGAAGAACCUUACCUGGUCUUGACAUCCCGAAAAAGACCUAGAAAUAGGGAAAUUCUCUCAGAGACUUUGGUUACAGGUGCUGCAUGGCCGUCGUCAGCUCGUGUCGUGAGAUGUUGGGUUAAGUCCCGCAACGAGCGAAACCCCUAUCCUUAGUUGCCAGCAUUAAGUUGGGCACUCUAGGGAGACUGCCUGGGAUAACCAGGAGGAAGGUGGGGAUGACGUCAAGUCCUCAUGGCCCUUAUGUCCAGGGCUACACACGUAAUACAAUGGUGCAUACAAAGGGAAGCGACCUGGCAACAGUGAGCAAAUCUCAAAAAGUGCAUCUCAGUCCGGAUUGGAGUCUGCAACUCGACUCCAUGAAGUUGGAAUCGCUAGUAAUCGCGGAUCAGAAUGCCGCGGUGAAUACGUUCCCGGGCCUUGUACACACCGCCCGUCACACCAUGGGAGUUGAUCUUACCAGAAGACGUUUUACUAACCUUCGGGAGGUAAGCGGCCAAGGUGAGGUCGAUGAUUGGGGUGAAGUCGUAACAAGGUA
RNAcentral lists this ribosomal RNA (1514 nucleotides) under uncultured prokaryote. Its description in RNAcentral is "partial 16S ribosomal RNA". It matches the Rfam family "Bacterial small subunit ribosomal RNA". The record is from RNAcentral.